This 672-nucleotide ribosomal RNA is filed under the name uncultured bacterium. Its description in RNAcentral is "bacterial SSU rRNA". It matches the Rfam family "Bacterial small subunit ribosomal RNA", at positions 138 to 807 of the family's 1533-position model. The record is from RNAcentral.
GGGGGAUAAGCGGAAGAAAUUCCGUCUAAUACCGCGUAAUAACUCCGAGGGGCAUCCCUUGGGGUUUAAAGGGUAACACCGGCUACGGAUGGCCAUGCGGUGCAUUAGCUAGUUGGCGGGGCAACGGCCCACCAAGGCGACGAUGCGUAGGGGUUCUGAGAGGAAGGUCCCCCACACUGGUACUGAGACACGGACCAGACUCCUACGGGAGGCAGCAGUGAGGAAUAUUGGUCAAUGGGCGCGAGCCUGAACCAGCCAAGUCGCGUGAGGGAAGACGGUCCUAUGGAUUGUAAACCUCUUUUGUCGGGGAGCAAAAGACGCCACGCGUGGCGUUCCGAGAGUACCCGAAGAAAAAGCAUCGGCUAACUCCGUGCCAGCAGCCGCGGUAAUACGGAGGAUGCGAGCGUUAUCCGGAUUUAUUGGGUUUAAAGGGUGCGCAGGCGGAAGAUCAAGUCAGCGGUAAAAUUGAGAGGCUCAACCUCUUCGAGCCGUUGAAACUGGUUUUCUUGAGUGAGCGAGAAGUAUGCGGAAUGCGUGGUGUAGCGGUGAAAUGCAUAGAUAUCACGCAGAACUCCGAUUGCGAAGGCAGCAUACCGGCGCUCAACUGACGCUCAUGCACUAAAGUGUGGGUAUCGAACAGGAUUAGAUACCCUGGUAGUCCACACAGUAAAC